AGUCUCUGACCACUCAGUAAUGACUCUAGAGAGAACAGAUUUCUGGACCUGCUACCUGAAGGUCAGGCAGUCAGGGAAGAUAAAAGGCUUCACAGGACUCCAGCCGCACUAGAGGGGAGGCCGGCAGGAGCCCCGCCCUCCCAACGCCUGGGUUAUCUGAGAGCCUGAGCUACACCACCGGGCUCCACCGACAGAAUGCGCCCUGCCUGGUUCCUCCGCAUCUGGCUUUGCUCCUUCCUUUCAAGUGCAUCAUAGAUACGUGUUGGUCACAGAUCUGGGGCUGUGGACGCGAGAAGAAAUCAUCACCAGAUAUCCUGAAGACACAUAAUGGGGGUGUUCUCACUAGGGAGCUCCGGUGAGAGAAGGAUAUGGAAGAAGAGGACAUGUUCAGUUUUAGAAACACCAAAAAUAAAAAGCUGAGUGGACUCUGAUAUGUUUUUCCUUUUUAUCCUCUUUCUCCAAGUUCUUGGAGAAACCAAUCUACCCCUUCCCAUGCUGAGGUCCUAUUAUAAACUUGAUUUUCUGGCGGGAGAAUUCUCAGCCCUUUAAUGAAUCAAAUUAAUUUGU
This is a long non-coding RNA of Rhinopithecus roxellana (golden snub-nosed monkey), 567 nucleotides long. RefSeq lists it as uncharacterized. NCBI's taxonomy places the organism in Eukaryota, Metazoa, Chordata, Mammalia, Primates, Cercopithecidae. The record is from RefSeq and is a predicted model, not a curated record. The transcript is spliced from 3 exons.